This is a non-coding RNA of Triticum aestivum (bread wheat), 119 nucleotides long. The record is from Rfam. Lineage: Eukaryota; Viridiplantae; Streptophyta; Magnoliopsida; Poales; Poaceae.
GGAUGCAAUCAUACCAGCACUAAAGCACCAGAUCCCAUCAGAACAUCGAAGUUAACCAUGCUUGGGCGAGAGUAGUACUAGGAUGGGUGACCUCCUGGGAAGUCCUCGUGUUGCAUUCC